RNAcentral lists this ribosomal RNA (468 nucleotides) under uncultured bacterium. RNAcentral describes it as "partial 16S ribosomal RNA". It matches the Rfam family "Bacterial small subunit ribosomal RNA", at positions 28 to 507 of the family's 1533-position model. The record is from RNAcentral.
GACGAACGCUGGCGGCGUGCUUAACACAUGCAAGUCGAACGGAAAGGCCCUGCUUUUGUUGGGUGCUCGAGUGGCGAACGCGGGUGUAACACGUGAGUAACCUGCCCUUGACUUUGGGAUAACUUCAGGAAACUGGGGCUAAUACCGGAUAGGAUCUCCUGCUGCAUGGUGGGGGUUGGAAAGUUUCGGCGGUUCGGGAUUGACUCGCGGCUUAUCAGCUGGUUGGUGGAGUAGUUGCUUACCAAGGCUUUGACGGGUAGCCGGCCUGAGAGGGUUACCGGCAACAAUGGGCCUAAGAUACGGCGCAGACUCGUACGUGCGGCAGCAGGCGAGAAUCUUGCAGAAUGGGCGGAAGCCUGAUGCAGCAACGCCGCGUGCGGGAUACCGGCCUUCGGGCUGUAAACAGAUGUCGCAUGGGACGAAGACUGAGUGACGGUAAUGGGUAAAGAAGCCACGGCUAACUACGUG